This 253-nucleotide ribosomal RNA is filed under the name uncultured bacterium. RNAcentral's name for it is "partial 16S ribosomal RNA". It matches the Rfam family "Bacterial small subunit ribosomal RNA", at positions 524 to 776 of the family's 1533-position model. The record is from RNAcentral.
UACGUAGGGGGCAAGCGUUGUCCGGAAUUAUUGGGCGUAAAGAGCGCGUAGGCGGUCCGUUAAGUCGGCUGUGAAAGUCAUGGGCUCAACCCAUGAAAGCCGGCCGAUACUGUCGGACUAGAGUCCGGAAGAGGCGAGUGGAAUUCCCGGUGUAGCGGUGAAAUGCGCAGAUAUCGGGAGGAACACCAAUGGCGAAGGCAGCUCGCUGGGACGGUACUGACGCUGAGGCGCGAAAGCGUGGGGAGCAAACAGG